ACCAAGGCGAUGAUUGAAAAAGUACGCUUGCAGAAUAAUUCAGAGAGGCAAUGGCCGGUGAAAAUUGCUAUUAUUCGUAAGGGGAAAGCUAUUCAUGAGCUGCAGACUAUUAUAUCCUGCCAGGGAUAGAAAUUCUGCCGUGAGCCAGCGAUAAUGGCAGCUUAAGUGGCUCUCAGAAGCAGGGCUGAAUAAGGUGGUACCACGGGAAAUUUGCCUCGUCCUUUUG
This 226-nucleotide non-coding RNA is filed under the name Anaerovibrio sp. RNAcentral describes it as "T-box sequence". It matches the Rfam family "T-box leader". From Rfam's summary of the family: Uncharged tRNA acts as the effector for transcription antitermination of genes in the T-box leader family. T-boxes are found upstream of many aminoacyl-tRNA synthetase genes and some amino acid biosynthetic genes usually in Gram-positive bacteria. The record is from RNAcentral. Lineage: Bacteria; Bacillati; Bacillota; Negativicutes; Selenomonadales; Selenomonadaceae.